This 84-nucleotide small nucleolar RNA is filed under the name Chlamydomonas reinhardtii. RNAcentral's name for it is "CrCD09d snoRNA". Lineage: Eukaryota; Viridiplantae; Chlorophyta; Chlorophyceae; Chlamydomonadales; Chlamydomonadaceae. The record is from RNAcentral.
GGGGACUGACGAUAUCAAACGACACAAUUCACCAUCUUUCACCUGAUGGCAACGCCAUUUGAUUAGGAGUCCAACUCUGACCCC